This 1141-nucleotide long non-coding RNA is filed under the name Anser cygnoides (Swan goose). Its description in RNAcentral is "lncRNA (ENSACDG00005001389.1)". Lineage: Eukaryota; Metazoa; Chordata; Aves; Anseriformes; Anatidae. The record is from RNAcentral.
GAGGAGAGGAGAGGAGAGGAGAGGAGAGGAGAGGAGAGGAGAGGAGAGGAGAAUAUUAUACAUUCAAAUUUAGUGUUAAGGUCAACAAUGGAAAUUCCUGUCUUUGACUUAUUUUGUUCAGGACAUCUUUCAGAAUGAAGAUGAUGAAGGUCUAGUGGUAUGAUGACCAGAGAUGGGGAGAGUAACAGCUGGAAAGACAAAGACAAAACUCACCGUAUUCAUAUCAACUGUUCCUGUAACACCACCAUCAACUGAAGGAUUAGAAGAGGGAAAUGCCCUUGAAAAGGGGAACUGUGAAGAGACUAUUCCUGGAAAGCUGUAUCUGGGCAGUGAAAAGGAGCAAGUAGGCAUUAUCAGCUUCCAUCACCCAGUGAAGUUGUCUCCAGGCAAUGAUCAAAGGAAAUUGUGCAGCUGCCUUUUAAGUCUAUUACACAACAAGAAUUCCAGGAUUUUGAUUUCAUUUCAGAGAUUACCUAUUUUAACAUGCAUUUCUCACAUGGGAAAGAUGCAUUCAGGAACCCUACUAGCUUUGAAGAAACUGUUGCUGAGAGCUCUCUGAUGUCAACAGCGGGGCCAUGUUUUGAGUCAUCUGGCAACAUGGCUUUACAACUGCAAUUGCUGGAACAAUUGAAGCAGAAGCAAAAGACCACCAAAGGACAUACUGAUCUUUUGUUGACUUAAACCACUUGGGUAACAAGUCCCUGGUGUGAACCGGCACAGGUGUUUUCUCAGCCUAAAAAAUAUUCUACCUUUCUCAUUGAGUCACUCUCCCCUAUAGCACAUUCAUUGUGGAAAUUCACUUUUUUUUUUUUUUUCAGGAGUGGAAGCACAACAGUUCUUUCUAAUUCCUUGUUUCAUAUUCUAAACUCUAGUCUAGCUGAGAAAUUCUACUUUAGUUGCUAUUCUCUCUAUUAUAAUCACCACAAAUUACAAUUUUAUUUCACAAACAUAAAAUAAUGUCUUUAAUGUAUAACUAAGCUGAGAACUGCAGUAAAUUAAAAAAAAAGUUAUGAAAGCAAUGAUUUUAAAAAUGCAAAUUAGAUGUAUUAGCAUUAAUCCUCAGUUAUAUGGAAACAGUAAACUGAAAUGAUGACUGAUAUAAUUAAAUAAAAUAUAUCUUACAUCAUGUAGAUGGCUAUUU